Molecule: non-coding RNA, 29 nt
Filed under: Rattus norvegicus (Norway rat)
Lineage: Eukaryota; Metazoa; Chordata; Mammalia; Rodentia; Muridae
Source: RNAcentral
UAAUUGGCAUGGGUCGUUAAACACUCACC